This 523-nucleotide ribosomal RNA is filed under the name uncultured bacterium. Its description in RNAcentral is "bacterial SSU rRNA". It matches the Rfam family "Bacterial small subunit ribosomal RNA", at positions 224 to 744 of the family's 1533-position model. The record is from RNAcentral.
GAUGAGCAUGCGUCCCAUUAGCUAGUUGGUAAGGUAACGGCUUACCAAGGCUACGAUGGGUAGGGGUCCUGAGAGGGAGAUCCCCCACACUGGUACUGAGACACGGACCAGACUCCUACGGGAGGCAGCAGUGAGGAAUAUUGGACAAUGGGCGCAAGCCUGAUCCAGCCAUGCCGCGUGCGGGAUGACGGUCCUAUGGAUUGUAAACUGCUUUUAUACGAGAAGAAACACUCCUUCGUGAAGGAGCUUGACGGUAUCGUAAGAAUAAGGAUCGGCUAACUCCGUGCCAGCAGCCGCGGUAAUACGGAGGAUCCAAGCGUUAUCCGGAAUCAUUGGGUUUAAAGGGUCCGUAGGCGGUUUAAUAAGUCAGUGGUGAAAGCCCAUCGCUCAACGGUGGAACGGCCAUUGAUACUGUUAGACUUGAAUUAUUAGGAAGUAACUAGAAUAUGUAGUGUAGCGGUGAAAUGCUUAGAGAUUACAUGGAAUACCAAUUGCGAAGGCAGGUUACUACUAAUUGAUUGAC